RNAcentral lists this transfer RNA (48 nucleotides) under Cyrtodactylus yathepyanensis. Its description in RNAcentral is "partial tRNA-Tyr". The record is from RNAcentral. Lineage: Eukaryota; Metazoa; Chordata; Lepidosauria; Squamata; Gekkonidae.
GGCAAAGUUGUAGCCUUGCUUACGGGGCUGCGCCCCCCCCCCAAGCAC